Molecule: long non-coding RNA, 1114 nt
Filed under: Gallus gallus (chicken)
Lineage: Eukaryota; Metazoa; Chordata; Aves; Galliformes; Phasianidae
Description: lncRNA (ENSGALG00010008853.1)
Source: RNAcentral
CUUGUUUUUUGACUUUGCAGGAUUUAGAGCAAAGCUACAAAAUGGUUGGGUUAAUGGGAGAUCCUCAGAGGACCAUGGUGGUAGCUAGUGUAGAUGAGCAUCCAUCAGAUGGCAGAAUUCAGCUUCUCAGUAGCUAUUUCUCUACAUUUGAUUUUCCUUAUUGGAAGAGCUAACAUGCGCCCCUGAGCUGUUACUGUAAGUAGAGGGGGAUCUACACAUGGGUGAGCAUUCUGAAAUGAUGAAUCCAUUGCAUCACUGAUAGCAGAUUGAAGACUAAAUUUUGCAAAGCUCCUUCUGUUUUUUUUAAUGUGAACACUUACCUGAAACUAGACUUGCACAAAAGCAAAACUGCUAUUUCCAAGUGCAACGAAGUUAAAGCACAAGAUCUCAAGUCUGACUUCUGCACAGCAGCGUUCAAAAGUGGAAUGAGGCCUUGAAGAAGAGGGAUAAACAUUAGAAAAGGCCAUAUGGACAUUAAAGAUCAAGUACCCAAAGACUUCUGGUUCAAAACAAAACUGUAUCUUGUUGAAUUUGUAGAUUCUUAGUAAAUUAGGACAACAUGUCCCAUUGAAGACAAGAUCUUCUGCAUAAAUCUCACUGAAGGUAACCUAUUUAACAACUCAAAGUUCUAUUGUGUGGUUGUAAUACUUUAAUAUCUAGAACACCUCUGGAAAUCGGGACCUCAAAAGACUACAGGAUUUAUUUGACCUGUCUAGAGUCACAAACAAAUUUAGAUCACCAUAAGAAAAUGGCAUUAUUCCCAUAUUUUCCAGUACCUGAAGAAAUCCAGUUAGGAGUGAGGCAGCAAGAUCACUCUUCAAUGCUGCUGGUCAUAUUCAUCAAGUCAUUAAGUUUGCUUUUACUACCUAAAGAAGAGGAAAGACUGUAGUAUCCGAAGGCAAGUUGAUGAUUUUCUUAAGGAGAGAAACUUGAUAAUCAACUGGUUACGGAAAAUCUGCCCGCUCCUUUAAAAUAAACUUUUUUUUUUUUAAAAAGUAGUUUCAUGUGAGAGAUAAUGGGACUGAAGUUCUGUCAGAGCUCUGCUUGAAACAAAAAGUUACCCUAGGAUGAGGUUAGGCUGCAUACUUAAAAGCAAGCAAAUAAAUCUCAAAGC